GGGUUAGUAGGUUGGUCAUGCCUCUGGUAUGUACUGGUCUCACUGAUUCCUCCUUCCUGAUGAACCGUAAUGCCAUUAAUUUGGUGUUGCGGGGAAUUUGGACUGUUACUUUGAAAAAAUUAGAGUGUUUAAAGCAGGCGAAACAGCUUGAAUACAUUAGCAUGGAAUAAUAAAACAGGACUUUGGUUCUAUUUUGUUGGUUUCUAGGACCGACGUAAUGAUUAAUAGGGAUAGUUG
This 237-nucleotide ribosomal RNA is filed under the name uncultured Glomus. Its description in RNAcentral is "partial 18S ribosomal RNA". The stretch from base 40 to 237 matches the Rfam family "Eukaryotic small subunit ribosomal RNA", at positions 686 to 884 of the family's 1831-position model. The record is from RNAcentral. Lineage: Eukaryota; Fungi; Glomeromycota; Glomeromycetes; Glomerales; Glomeraceae.